Molecule: long non-coding RNA, 695 nt
Organism: Cyprinodon tularosa
Lineage: Eukaryota; Metazoa; Chordata; Actinopteri; Cyprinodontiformes; Cyprinodontidae
Exons: 5
Source: RefSeq, a predicted model, not a curated record
CCAUCCAUCCAUCCAUCCAUCCAUCCAUCCAUCCAUCCAUCCAGGAUGGGUCAGCUCCUCUGGGGGAACCCUGAGGCGCUCCCACACCAGCUGAGAAACAUAGUCUGUCCAGCGUGUCCUGGGUCUCUUCCUGGGUCUCCUCCUGUUGGGAGAGCCAAUAUCUACGAAGCCCAAACUGGUUUAUAACAUCAGUGAGCCUGACUUAAAUGGAUCCUGCACAGUUUAUCUGGAAUGCAGAGCAGCUCCUCACAGAAACACCAACUACAUCCUGACUGUAGGAAACCAAACACAUGAAGGCCCCAAGCUGCAUUACCACAUCACACCACAAGAUGGAGACACAACAGUCACCUGCAAUGCCUCUAAUGCUGUCAGUGAGAUGUCAGCAUCAGAAACAUUGAGGUGUAGAAACACUGACAGCCUCUCUAACAAAGGCUCAAACAUCCUGCAGCAGUCGACCAGGAUGAGAGUCAGCAGCAUCCCCACUCCUCACCUGCUGCUGGUGAUGCUUCAGAGUAUGAACCCAUGAGAGGCUCUACAGAUGCUGAACAAGGGGAAAUUCAGAGGAAUACGUCCUUCCUCAACAAGCUGCUAUCAAGGAUCAGGACAAGGUUGAUGAGAACUAAUAGACAGGAAGGUCGUCUGACCCACUGCAUUAACUCAUUCUAACUGUCAUUAAAAGCUUUUGUUACUCAUAA